GCGCAGUAGUUUGACACUCGCAUCGGGAGCGCGGGCGUCCACAGCCGUAAACACCCAACUUUUGAAUGUUACCUCGGAUCAGGAGGAAUCCCGUGACUAAGAUUAUAGGGGGGAAGCGGUGAACCAGCGGAGGGAUCAUUAC
RNAcentral lists this ribosomal RNA (142 nucleotides) under Trichoderma inhamatum. RNAcentral's name for it is "partial 18S ribosomal RNA". Lineage: Eukaryota; Fungi; Ascomycota; Sordariomycetes; Hypocreales; Hypocreaceae. The record is from RNAcentral.